Molecule: ribosomal RNA, 1376 nt
Filed under: uncultured Gammaproteobacteria bacterium
Lineage: Bacteria; Pseudomonadati; Pseudomonadota; Gammaproteobacteria
Description: bacterial SSU rRNA
Rfam family: Bacterial small subunit ribosomal RNA
Source: RNAcentral
UUGAACGCUGGCGGCAGGCCUAACACAUGCAAGUCGAACGGUAACAGGAAACAGCUUGCUGUUUCGCUGACGAGUGGCGGACGGGUGAGUAAUGUCUGGGAAACUGCCUGAUGGAGGGGGAUAACUACUGGAAACGGUAGCUAAUACCGCAUAACGUCGCAAGACCAAAGAGGGGGACCCUCGGGCCUCUUGCCAUCGGAUGUGCCCAGAUGGGAUUAGCUUGUUGGUGGGGUAACGGCUCACCAAGGCGACGAUCCCUAGCUGGUCUGAGAGGAUGACCAGCCACACUGGAACUGAGACACGGUCCAGACUCCUACGGGAGGCAGCAGUGGGGAAUAUUGCACAAUGGGCGCAAGCCUGAUGCAGCCAUGCCGCGUGUAUGAAGAAGGCCUUCGGGUUGUAAAGUACUUUCAGCGGGGAGGAAGGGAGUAAAGUUAAUACCUUUGCUCAUUGACGUUACCCGCAGAAGAAGCACCGGCUAACUCCGUGCCAGCAGCCGCGGUAAUACGGAGGGUGCAAGCGUUAAUCGGAAUUACUGGGCGUAAAGCGCACGCAGGCGGUUUGUUAAGUCAGAUGUGAAAUCCCCGGGGCUCAACCUGGGAACUGCAUCUGAUACUGGCAAGCUUGAGUCUCGUAGAGGGGGGUAGAAUUCCAGGUGUAGCGGUGAAAUGCGUAGAGAUCUGGAGGAAUACCGGUGGCGAAGGCGGCCCCCUGGACGAAGACUGACGCUCAGGUGCGAAAGCGUGGGGAGCAAACAGGAUUAGAUACCCUGGUAGUCCACGCCGUAAACGAUGUCGACUUGGAGGUUGUGCCCUUGAGGCGUGGCUUCCGGAGCUAACGCGUUAAGUCGACCGCCUGGGGAGUACGGCCGCAAGGUUAAAACUCAAAUGAAUUGACGGGGGCCCGCACAAGCGGUGGAGCAUGUGGUUUAAUUCGAUGCAACGCGAAGAACCUUACCUGGUCUUGACAUCCACGGAAGUUUUCAGAGAUGAGAAUGUGCCUUCGGGAACCGUGAGACAGGUGCUGCAUGGCUGUCGUCAGCUCGUGUUGUGAAAUGUUGGGUUAAGUCCCGCAACGAGCGCAACCCUUAUCCUUUGUUGCCAGCGGUCCGGCCGGGAACUCAAAGGAGACUGCCAGUGAUAAACUGGAGGAAGGUGGGGAUGACGUCAAGUCAUCAUGGCCCUUACGACCAGGGCUACACACGUGCUACAAUGGCGCAUACAAAGAGAAGCGACCUCGCGAGAGCAAGCGGACCUCAUAAAGUGCGUCGUAGUCCGGAUUGGAGUCUGCAACUCGACUCCAUGAAGUCGGAAUCGCUAGUAAUCGUGGAUCAGAAUGCCACGGUGAAUACGUUCCCGGGCCUUGUACACACCGCC